UCAAUUAACUAGGGGCGCAUAUUGCUGAGACGGUGACCGACCGAACCCUUUGAACCUGUGAGCUAACCCUCGCGUAGGAAAGUUAACGUUGUUAAAU
RNAcentral lists this non-coding RNA (97 nucleotides) under Secundilactobacillus odoratitofui. RNAcentral's name for it is "Lactobacillus odoratitofui TPP sequence". It matches the Rfam family "TPP riboswitch aptamer (THI element)". From Rfam's summary of the family: Vitamin B(1) in its active form thiamin pyrophosphate (TPP) is an essential coenzyme that is synthesised by coupling of pyrimidine and thiazole moieties in bacteria. The previously detected thiamin-regulatory element, thi box was extended, resulting in a new, highly conserved RNA secondary structure, the THI element, which is widely distributed in eubacteria and also occurs in some archaea. The record is from RNAcentral. Lineage: Bacteria; Bacillati; Bacillota; Bacilli; Lactobacillales; Lactobacillaceae.